UUAAGCGACUAAGCGUACACGGUGGAUGCCCUGGCAGUCAGAGGCGAUGAAGGACGUGCUAAUCUGCGAUAAGCGUCGGUAAGGUGAUAUGAACCGUUAUAACCGGCGAUUUCCGAAUGGGGAAACCCAGUGUGAUUCGUCACACUAUCAUUAACUGAAUCCAUAGGUUAAUGAGGCGAACCGGGGGAACUGAAACAUCUAAGUACCCCGAGGAAAAGAAAUCAACCGAGAUUCCCCCAGUAGCGGCGAGCGAACGGGGAGCAGCCCAGAGCCUGAAUCAGUGUGUGUGUUAGUGGAAGCGUCUGGAAAGGCGCGCGAUACAGGGUGACAGCCCCGUACACAAAAAUGCACAUACUGUGAGCUCGAUGAGUAGGGCGGGACACGUGGUAUCCUGUCUGAAUAUGGGGGACCAUCCUCCAAGGCUAAAUACCCUGACUGACCGAUAGUGAACCAGUACCGUGAGGAAAGGCGAAAAGAACCCCGGCGAGGGAGUGAAAAGAACCUGAAACCGUGUACGUACAAGCAGUGGGAGCCUCUUAAUGGGGUGACUGCGUACCUUUUGUAUAAUGGGUCAGCGACUUAUAUUCUGUAGCAAGGUUAACCGAAUAGGGGAGCCGAAGGGAAACCGAGUCUUAACUGGGCGUUAAGUUGCAGGGUAUAGACCCGAAACCCGGUGAUCUAGCCAUGGGCAGGUUGAAGGUUGGGUAACACUAACUGGAGGACCGAACCGACUAAUGUUGAAAAAUUAGCGGAUGACUUGUGGCUGGGGGUGAAAGGCCAAUCAAACCGGGAGAUAGCUGGUUCUCCCCGAAAGCUAUUUAGGUAGCGCCUCGUGAAUUCAUCUCCGGGGGUAGAGCACUGUUUCGGCAAGGGGGUCAUCCCGACUUACCAACCCGAUGCAAACUGCGAAUACCGGAGAAUGUUAUCACGGGAGACACACGGCGGGUGCUAACGUCCGUCGUGAAGAGGGAAACAACCCAGACCGCCAGCUAAGGUCCCAAAGUCAUGGUUAAGUGGGAAACGAUGUGGGAAGGCCCAGACAGCCAGGAUGUUGGCUUAGAAGCAGCCAUCAUUUAAAGAAAGCGUAAUAGCUCACUGGUCGAGUCGGCCUGCGCGGAAGAUGUAACGGGGCUAAACCAUGCACCGAAGCUGCGGCAGCGACACUAUGUGUUGUUGGGUAGGGGAGCGUUCUGUAAGCCUGUGAAGGUGUACUGUGAGGUAUGCUGGAGGUAUCAGAAGUGCGAAUGCUGACAUAAGUAACGAUAAAGCGGGUGAAAAGCCCGCUCGCCGGAAGACCAAGGGUUCCUGUCCAACGUUAAUCGGGGCAGGGUGAGUCGACCCCCUAAGGCGAGGCCGAAAGGCGUAGUCGAUGGGAAACAGGUUAAUAUUCCUGUACUUGGUGUUACUGCGAAGGGGGGACGGAGAAGGCUAUGUUGGCCGGGCGACGGUUGUCCCGGUUUAAGCGUGUAGGCUGGUUUUCCAGGCAAAUCCGGAAAAUCAAGGCUGAGGCGUGAUGACGAGGCACUACGGUGCUGAAGCAACAAAUGCCCUGCUUCCAGGAAAAAGCCUCUAAGCAUCAGGUAACAUCAAAUCGUACCCCAAACCGACACAGGUGGUCAGGUAGAGAAUACCAAGGCGCUUGAGAGAACUCGGGUGAAGGAACUAGGCAAAAUGGUGCCGUAACUUCGGGAGAAGGCACGCUGAUAUGUAGGUGAAGUCCCUUGCGGAUGGAGCUGAAAUCAGUCGAAGAUACCAGCUGGCUGCAACUGUUUAUUAAAAACACAGCACUGUGCAAACACGAAAGUGGACGUAUACGGUGUGACGCCUGCCCGGUGCCGGAAGGUUAAUUGAUGGGGUUAGCGGUAACGCGAAGCUCUUGAUCGAAGCCCCGGUAAACGGCGGCCGUAACUAUAACGGUCCUAAGGUAGCGAAAUUCCUUGUCGGGUAAGUUCCGACCUGCACGAAUGGCGUAAUGAUGGCCAGGCUGUCUCCACCCGAGACUCAGUGAAAUUGAACUCGCUGUGAAGAUGCAGUGUACCCGCGGCAAGACGGAAAGACCCCGUGAACCUUUACUAUAGCUUGACACUGAACAUUGAGCCUUGAUGUAGGAUAGGUGGGAGGCUUUGAAGUGUGGACGCCAGUCUGCAUGGAGCCGACCUUGAAAUACCACCCUUUAAUGUUUGAUGUUCUAACGUUGGCCCCUAAUCGGGGUUGCGGACAGUGUCUGGUGGGUAGUUUGACUGGGGCGGUCUCCUCCUAAAGAGUAACGGAGGAGCACGAAGGUUGGCUAAUCCUGGUCGGACAUCAGGAGGUUAGUGCAAUGGCAUAAGCCAGCUUGACUGCGAGCGUGACGGCGCGAGCAGGUGCGAAAGCAGGUCAUAGUGAUCCGGUGGUUCUGAAUGGAAGGGCCAUCGCUCAACGGAUAAAAGGUACUCCGGGGAUAACAGGCUGAUACCGCCCAAGAGUUCAUAUCGACGGCGGUGUUUGGCACCUCGAUGUCGGCUCAUCACAUCUGGGGCUGAAGUAGGUCCCAAGGGUAUGGCUGUUCGCCAUUUAAAGUGGUACGCGAGCUGGGUUUAGAACGUCGUGAGACAGUUCGGUCCCUAUCUGCCGUGGGCGCUGGAGAACUGAGGGGGGCUGCUCCUAGUACGAGAGGACCGGAGUGGACGCAUCACUGGUGUUCGGGUUGUCAUGCCAAUGGCACUGCCCGGUAGCUAAAUGCGGAAGAGAUAAGUGCUGAAAGCAUCUAAGCACGAAACUUGCCCCGAGAUGAGUUCUCCCUGACUCCCUGAGAGUCCUGAAGGAACGUUGAAGACGACGACGUUGAUAGGCCGGGUGUGUAAGCGCAGCGAUGCGUUGAGCUAACCGGUACUAAUGAACCGUGAGGCUUAACCU
RNAcentral lists this ribosomal RNA (2895 nucleotides) under Escherichia coli. RNAcentral describes it as "23S ribosomal RNA". It matches the Rfam family "Bacterial large subunit ribosomal RNA". The record is from RNAcentral. Lineage: Bacteria; Pseudomonadati; Pseudomonadota; Gammaproteobacteria; Enterobacterales; Enterobacteriaceae.